UGAGGAAUAUUGGACAAUGGGCGCAAGCCUGAUCCAGCCAUGCCGCGUGUGUGAAGAAGGUCUUCGGAUUGUAAAGCACUUUAAGUUGGGAGGAAGGGCAGUAACCUAAUACGUUGCUGUCUUGACGUUACCGACAGAAUAAGCACCGGCUAACUCUGUGCCAGCAGCCGCGGUAAUACAGAGGGUGCAAGCGUUAAUCGGAAUUACUGGGCGUAAAGCGCGCGUAGGUGGUUUGUUAAGUUGGAUGUGAAAUCCCCGGGCUCAACCUGGGAACUGCAUUCAAAACUGACAAGCUAGAGUAUGGUAGAGGGUGGUGGAAUUUCCUGUGUAGCGGUGAAAUGCGUAGAUAUAGGAAGGAACACCAGUGGCGAAGGCGACCACCUGGACUGAUACUGACACUGAGGUGCGAAAGCGUGGGGAGCAAACAGGAUUAGAUACCCCCGUAGUCCCUGAGCGGGCUGGCAAGGCGCAU
Molecule: ribosomal RNA, 472 nt
Filed under: uncultured bacterium
Lineage: Bacteria
Description: bacterial SSU rRNA
Rfam family: Bacterial small subunit ribosomal RNA
Source: RNAcentral